CCAUAUCUCUACGCAUUUCACCGCUACACAUGGAAUUCCACUUUCCUCUUCUGCACUCAAGUCUCCCAGUUUCCAAUGACCCUCCACGGUUGAGCCGUGGGCUUUCACAUCAGACUUAAGAAACCACCUGCGCGCGCUUUACGCCCAAUAAUUCCGGAUAACGCUUGCCACCUACGUAUUACCGCGGCUGCUGGCACGUAGUUAGCCGUGGCUUUCUGGUUAGGUACCGUCAAGGUGCCAGCUUAUUCAACUAGCACUUGUUCUUCCCUAACAACAGAGUUUUACGACCCGAAAGCCUUCAUCACUCACGCGGCGUUGCUCCGUCAGACUUUCGUCCAUUGCGGAAGAUUCCCUACUGCUGCCUCCCGUAGGAGUCUGGGCCGUGUCUCAGUCCCAGUGUGGCCGAUCACCCUCUCAGGUCGGCUACGCAUCGUUGCCUUGGUGAGCCGUUACCUCACCAACUAGCUAAUGCGACGCGGGUCCAUCCAUAAGUGACAGCCGAAGCCGCCUUUCAAUUUCGAACCAUGCAGUUCAAAAUAUUAUCCGGUAUUAGCCCCGGUUUCCCGGAGUUAUCCCAGUCUUAUGGGCAGGUUACCCACGUGUUACUCACCCGUCCGCCGCUAACUUCUUGAGAGCAAGCUCUCAAUCCAUUCGCUCGACUGC
This 663-nucleotide ribosomal RNA is filed under the name Bacillus cereus. RNAcentral describes it as "partial 16S ribosomal RNA". The record is from RNAcentral. Lineage: Bacteria; Bacillati; Bacillota; Bacilli; Caryophanales; Bacillaceae.